This is a non-coding RNA of Conger conger (European conger), 537 nucleotides long. NCBI's taxonomy places the organism in Eukaryota, Metazoa, Chordata, Actinopteri, Anguilliformes, Congridae. The record is from the annotation of a RefSeq genome assembly.
AUGGCAAACAUUCCCUUCCUGGUGAGCGUACACCCAAACAUCACGAUCACGCCGCCCAAGGUGAGGGUGCUGCCGCCCUCCCGUCGGGAAAACUGCGACGAGAGGAGAAGCAGAGAUAAGACCCCGAAAGUGACCCUGCUGUGCGUGGCCACGGGCUUCUACCCCGACCACAUCAGUGUGUCCUGGCAGCUGAACGGACAGGACAUCAGCAGGGGGGUCAGGACGGACGACGUCGCAACCCGCAACGCUGACGACAGGUUCUACAGCAUCACCAGCAGACUGCGAGUCCGGUCCAACAAGUGGUUCAACACCAGGAACGUCUUCACCUGCACGACCAGCUUCUACAAUGGCAACCAUACCCUGGAGAACGCGGACUCCAUUAGAGGAGCUAAAGGGGGGAUGAAGGAUGACCUGGUGGCAGCACGUCUGGCCUAUGGACUCCUCCUCUGCAAAAGCUUCCUCUACGCUGUGGUGGUGAGCGUGUUGCUAUGGAAACGCAAGGUGUGUACUGUGUCCUCUGCAGUUAUUCAUGUGUGA